RNAcentral lists this ribosomal RNA (497 nucleotides) under uncultured bacterium. Its description in RNAcentral is "partial 16S ribosomal RNA". It matches the Rfam family "Bacterial small subunit ribosomal RNA", at positions 28 to 507 of the family's 1533-position model. The record is from RNAcentral.
GAUGAACGCUGGCGGCGUGCCUAAUACAUGCAAGUCGAGCGAACAGACGAGGAGCUUGCUCCUCUGACGUUAGCGGCGGACGGGUGAGUAACACGUGGAUAACCUACCUAUAAGACUGGGAUAACUUCGGGAAACCGGAGCUAAUACCGGAUAAUAUAUUGAACCGCAUGGUUCAAUAGUGAAAGACGGUUUUGCUGUCACUUAUAGAUGGAUCCGCGCCGCAUUAGCUAGUUGGUAAGGUAACGGCUUACCAAGGCAACGAUGCGUAGCCGACCUGAGAGGGUGAUCGGGCACACUGGAACUGAGACACGGUCCAGACUCCUACGGGAGGCAGCAGUAGGGAAUCUUCCGCAAUGGGCGAAAGCUUGACGGAGCAACGCCGCGUGAGUGAUGAAGGUCUUCGGAUCGUAAAACUCUGUUAUUGGGGAAGAACAAAUGUGUAAGUAACUAUGCACGUCUUGACGGUACCUAAUCAGAAAGCCACGGCUAACUACGUG